UAGUAACGGCGAGUGAAGCGGCAACAGCUCAAAUUUGAAAUCUGGCUCUUUCAGAGUCCGAGUUGUAAUUUGCAGAGGGCGCUUUGGCGUUGGCAGCGGUCCAAGUUCUUUGGAACAGGACGUCACAGAGGGUGAGAAUCCCGUACGUGGUCGCUAGCCAUCACCGUGUAAAGCCCCUUCGACGAGUCGAGUUGUUUGGGAAUGCAGCUCUAAAUGGGAGGUAAAUUUCUUCUAAAGCUAAAUACUGGCCAGAGACCGAUAGCGCACAAGUAGAGUGAUCGAAAGAUGAAAAGCACUUUGGAAAGAGAGUCAAAUAGCACGUGAAAUUGUUGAAAGGGAAGCGCUUGCAGCCAGACUUGCCUGUAGUUGCUUACCUAGACUUUUGUCUGGGGCACUCUUCUGCAGGCAGGCCAGCAUCAGUUUGGGCGGUUGGAUAAAGGUCUCUGUCACGUACCUCCCUUCGGGGAGGCCUUAUAGGGGAGACGUAAUGCAACCAGCCUGGACUGAGGUCCGCGCAUCUGCUAGGAUGCUGGCGUAAUGGCUGUAAGCGGCCCGUCUUGAAACACGGACCAAGGAGUCUAACAUCUAUGCGAGUGUUUGGGUGUCAAGCCCAUACGCGUAAUGAAAGUGAACGGAGGUGGGAACCUUAGGGUGCACCAUCGACCGAUCCUGAUGUCUUCGGAUGGAUUUGAGUAAGAGCAUGGCUGUUGGGACCCGAAAGAUGGUGAACUAUGCUUGAAUAGGGUGAAGCCAGAGGAAACUCUGGUGGAGGCUCGCAGCGGUUCUGACGUGCAAAUCGAUCGUCAAAUUUGGGCAUAGGGGCGAAGACUAUCGAC
The sequence is a ribosomal RNA, 836 nucleotides long. It matches the Rfam family "Eukaryotic large subunit ribosomal RNA", at positions 81 to 940 of the family's 3401-position model.